UGGGGAAUAGUUCAAUGGUAGAAUAUCGGACUGUGACUCCGUCGAUCUUAGCUCGAAUCCAGGUUCCCCAGCCA
This 74-nucleotide transfer RNA is filed under the name Rhizobium leguminosarum bv. viciae. RNAcentral's name for it is "tRNA-His". It matches the Rfam family "tRNA". From Rfam's summary of the family: Transfer RNA (tRNA) molecules are approximately 80 nucleotides in length. Their secondary structure includes four short double-helical elements and three loops (D, anti-codon, and T loops). Lineage: Bacteria; Pseudomonadati; Pseudomonadota; Alphaproteobacteria; Hyphomicrobiales; Rhizobiaceae. The record is from RNAcentral.